Molecule: non-coding RNA, 106 nt
Organism: Coprinopsis sp. MPI-PUGE-AT-0042
Lineage: Eukaryota; Fungi; Basidiomycota; Agaricomycetes; Agaricales; Psathyrellaceae
Source: the annotation of a GenBank genome assembly
ACACCGAUGGUGAAGUGGUUAUCAUGCUUGCCUUCCACAAAUUGACGGGAUUCGAACCCGUUGAAUGGGGCAGCAAGCGGCACGGGUUCGAUUCCCGUUCGGUGUA